RNAcentral lists this ribosomal RNA (497 nucleotides) under uncultured bacterium. RNAcentral describes it as "partial 16S ribosomal RNA". It matches the Rfam family "Bacterial small subunit ribosomal RNA", at positions 28 to 507 of the family's 1533-position model. The record is from RNAcentral.
GAUGAACGCUGGCGGCGUGCCUAAUACAUGCAAGUCGAGCGAACAGACGAGGAGCUUGCUCCUCUGACGUUAGCGGCGGACGGGUGAGUAACACGUGGAUAACCUACCUAUAAGACUGGGAUAACUUCGGGAAACCGGAGCUAAUACCGGAUAAUAUAUUGAACCGCGUGGUUCAAUAGUGAAAGACGGUUUUGCUGUCACUUAUAGAUGGAUCCGCGCCGCAUUAGCUAGUUGGUAAGGUAACGGCUUACCAAGGCGACGAUGCGUAGCCGACCUGAGAGGGUGAUCGGCCACACUGGAACUGAGACACGGUCCAGACUCCUACGGGAGGCAGCAGUAGGGAAUCUUCCGCAAUGGGCGAAAGCCUGACGGAGCAACGCCGCGUGAGUGAUGAAGGUCUUCGGGUCGUAAAACUCUGUUAUUAGGGAAGAACAAAUGUGUAAGUAACUAUGCACGUCUUGACGGUACCUAAUCAGAAAGCCACGGCUAACUACGUG